Molecule: RNA transcript, 4521 nt
Organism: Notolabrus celidotus (New Zealand spotty)
Lineage: Eukaryota; Metazoa; Chordata; Actinopteri; Labriformes; Labridae
Gene: rab3il1
Gene name: RAB3A interacting protein (rabin3)-like 1
Exons: 9
Source: RefSeq, a predicted model, not a curated record
UUAGUGUUCUUGACUGAAAGCAUGUGUAAGUGUGUCAGGUGACUGAAGUAUGUGACCCUGUCAGUGCAGCUGGACUGUAUAGUAGCCUCUGUGUGGCUGCUGCUGCUGGCUGUGCUGCUGGCUGCGGACAGCGUGUCCCUGACAGGGCGUUGGGUGGGAGUGGAUGCGCUGUCAUGUGACCGGUGAAGAAGGAGAGGCAGAACCAGAGCAGACACACUCCUUAUCCCGGACAGAAUAAAAAGUCAGGGCAAACAAGAAUAGUGACGGACAUUGGUUGGAAAUGUGAAAGAGGUCGUCGACGCUGCUGAACUUAGUCGUGUUUUGUCUCCAUCUGACAGCUGACUGCUGCUGUUCUCGGUUGUCUACGUCCGCAUUCCUCCGCAGUGAUUUCAACCGGCUGAGAUUACUUUAACAGAAACUAGUCCAGCUCAGUUAGUGCAACAUCAUUAUUACAGCAACCGGAGGACACCGGAGGGGUGAGGCUGACACACACCGACAGUGAGAGGGGGUUAUCUGCUGGAUACUGACAGGGUUGGUAGAUCUGGAUCCAGAGCCAGACUCCAGGGUGGAAGGGGGAGGCCAGGCCCGACCAACUUCAGGACGAGACCAUGGAAGCCUCGUCCGGCUUCGUAGCUCCUCGCUGGAGAUCAAGGAGAAAGAAAUCAGAGAAAAGGGCUCCGAGAUCCUCAGGGAACAGCUGGAUGCUGCAAAGAAGGAACUGAAACUCAAGGACCGAGAGUGUGAGCGUCUGUCUCAGGUCAGGAAUCAGCUGGAGCAGGAGCUGGAGGAGCUGACAGCCAGUCUGUUUGAGGAAGCUCACAAGAUGGUGAAUGAAGCCAACGUCAAACAAGCAACAGCAGAGAAGCAGUUAAAAGAAGCUCAAGGAAAGAUUGAUGUCCUUCAAGCAGAGGUGACGGCGCUGAAGACUCUAGUGUUGACCUCGACACCUUCUUCACCGAAUCGCCAGCUGCAUCCACAGCUGCAGUCUCCUGGAACCAGAGGAGCGCACAGACACAUCCGUAACAAGAGCGCGAGCGGUGGCUUUCCACCUUCACCUGGAAAACUAGACCCUUCAUCAGGGUCUACACAGCCUGGAACCAAAGAGGACAGAGAGAUGGACUCUAUCCUGUAUGCAGAGUUUUUGAUGUGGAAGGAAAAGACGAGUCUCGACCGCUCCUCUGCCUUCAUGAGUCGCAUCUACAGAGAAGACGUUUGCCCCUGCCUCUCCUUCACCAGAUCUGAGGUCAGAAUCUCCCUGCCCCUCUGUGUCAUGAGCAGUGUUAAUUUUGUUAAUGAAAUUAUGACGAUAAAUGUUUGCCAAAAGACUCAUUUUUUCAUGACGAAAACGAGACUAUGACGCGCUAAAGUGCAUCACAUCAACUCUGAUGAAAAUAUGUUUUGAUUUUGUUGACGAGAUGAUGACGAGACGAAAACAGUAGUGGCCGACCGUCGGACAUUCAAAAUCCAUAUUUUCCUCGCUGUGCGUCUAAUCUUUAGAAAUAAAAGGGAUGCAUUCCUGUGACAGGCUGAGUUAUUAUUUGAGGGUUAGCAGCUUGGUCUCUACCUGCAGCAGUUGUGCUUUAUGAACCAGCUCUCCUCACCUCCAUGCAUCUGUCUCAUCUUCAUUGAUGAUUUUUACCCUCGGUGUGCUAUAGUGACAAAGACACAACCGGGGGACGUCUGUUUAAUAUUUGAUGUUUGCCGCUAUUACCGUAAAAAGCUCAGCGUGUAGAGCUUGAUUUAUUCCAGUUUGGUGAAACAUCAGACACCUUUAGUAAGUUUUGAUCAACUCCUAGUCAUCAAAGAUGCAGCUGCAUUUCUUUCAGAGUGCCGUGAAGUGACUGACUGUCCACUGCACCUGUCACUGCAGGUACAUUCAAGGACUGUCGUAAAUGUGCAAUAUAGUCCUUUAAUGGCAUUUUUUUGUGAGUCAAGAGAAUCAAAAUACAGUCACAGUGGUCACAUCAAGAAUGUUUUCUUUUGACAUUUUAGCAGGGCCAGGCUGAAUUAUUUAACUUAAGAUAUUACAAAAGCAAAAGUGUUAAAGGAGUGACGGAGGAUGAUUUUAACACUUGGUAUAAGAUAAGAUAAGAUAAGAUAAGAUACUCCUUUAUUCGUCCCACAACGGGGCAAUUCAUGGAGUUACAGCAGAAAACAAAAAGUUGUACAGUACAAGAAUUUAACAAGAAUAUAUAUAGAAAAGAAAUGUUCAUCAGAGACGACAGCUUGGCCAUAAUUCUCCUGUCAGCCACCACCUCCACAGGGUCCAGGACUGAGCUGGCCUUCUUCACCAGUUAGUUCAGUCUUGCUCUCCUGUAUCCUGUCCGCCCACAGCAGGUGAAAUCCUUCCAAUGUGGCAUUCGUGUCUGGUGUUAGCUCUGUUAGCAUGAUGCUACUCUGCCAGUAUUCCCUCUGGUGCUGGGUUAGCUCGUCCACCUUAUCGUAGAUAGAUCUUACAUUCCCCAUAAAGGUGGGUGGAAGGACAGGUUGAUGUCGUCUUUUCUUAGCUUGCACCUCAGUACCAGCACGUCAUCCUUGAACAUAUAUAACCCUGUUACCAAUAUCUGAUUGACUACAUAAAUUAUUCAAAGAGUGAAGAUGUUUCGGCAAAAAUCAAAGACUAAAAUGUUUUGAGUUUCCGCUGACUAAAACUAGACUAAAACUAUAAAGGGCCGAAAAGACUAAAAUGUGACUAAAGCUAACAGACAUUUUCGCCUAAAGACUAAGUCUAAAUCUAAAAUAGCCGCCAAAAUUAACACUGGUCAUGUGUUUGUACUUCACAGUCUGCAGAAGUGUUAACAUAACUGAUUAGUGCCAUCCACAGCUCUCGCAGCUGGUGCAGAGUGCAGUGGAAAACAACUCUCUGACAAUCGAGCCUGUGGCUAUGUCAGCAUUACCGAUGGUUAAAGCCUCAGCUGUUGAGUGUGGAGGUCCAAAGUGAGUCAUCAAAUCUACAUCAUAACUUGGAUCCAGUUUCUCUCACCAUUCACUGCUAAACUCUUGUUAGGUUUGGUUUUCUCCUUUGAUGAUUAAUAGUUGUAGCAAAGUUUUCACUGUCUUACCACAAAUCUGUGAGGGGUUUAAUCAGCGGGCACAUUUCUCAUCACUGUCUGAUUUCUAAAUAUUUUUCUUCCAGUGGCUUUAGGGCAGCAAUAGAGACAAAAUGUGCGCUGAGCGGUAUGUCACGCCUCUGCAGACAUCGCAUCAAACUUGGAGACAAGGGGAGCUAUUAUUACAUUUCUCCUUCCAGUCGAGCACGGAUCACAGCUGUUUGCAAUUUCUUUACGUAUAUCCGCUACAUCCAGCAGGGCCUGGUGAGACAUGAUGCAGAGCAGAUGUUCUGGGAGGUGAUGCGUCUCCGCAGGGAAAUGACUGUGGCCAAGUUAGGUUUCUACCCCACAGACCAGGGCUAAAGGAUCUGACUGUAAACACUAGGCAGGGUAGUGUGAGUCUCGGUAAAACUGUGUUAACAAACUCGUCUGGGAUCAGUUGUUGUAGAGGAUUGAACAGUAUCAAUGCUGCAGCAGAGGUCAAUCAACAAGGGAGGUAGAUAAUGUGUAUAUUUUAUUGUUUUGCAAUAUGAUGAAGAAUUGAACCAGCACAGGUAGAGGGAACACCUGAUUUUAAGGUGAAAAUACUCACUGGUAUGUUUUUUCACUGAAGUGUAUCUCCUCAGUGACCCUCACAUAAGAGACUUGUCUGUUUGUGAACGCUGCACCUCCCCAGAGGAGUUCCCUCAGUUGAAAAACAUAAUAUUCUAUGCAUCAUGUGGACAUGAUGAGUAACGAAGGUUUAAGGCAGCCUUCAGAGAUUUUAUACCUCACACAUCACAAACUUAUAUCACUAAGUAAUGAUGUAGCUCUGUUGUAAGAUUGCCAAUAUCCAUGCAGCUUUCUUAGCGAUUGAUGGAUUCAUUUUUUCACUGUCAUACUCAGACAUUUCGUUGUAAAUUUUUGUUAGACUUUUUGUUACAGCAUGGCCUUCACUUUGUCUUUACCCUUCCUGCUUUAAGCGCCUCUUAUAAAAACACAAUGCCGCCUCUUGCUUGAGGCUAAACAUCUUCACGUUAGCCCGGCUUGAUAAUCUGAUGUAUUAAUAACAAACCAGCGAUGACACCUCCACACUUCAGAGUCACAGUUUUGUAAAGUAGACAGAAAAAACUUAAAACACGUGAUGCAAUACUCAUAACUGUUAAUGUAGUUUUGCACGUCUGCAGAGCAGUAUGUAUAUACAUUAAAAGCCAUAAAUGACUUUGCAUGAAUGCAGUAAAUAGCCAUAAUUACGCAAUGCAUUUUGAUUGUACCUCACAGUAUAGAUUUAAUAUCAUGAAUGGACAGUUUGGACAGAAAACUGUGUCUUGAAGUUAAAAAUGAAGACUUUUGUUUCAGAAAGUGCAAUAUCUGCUUCUCCGCCCCCUGUAGGGCCUCCGGGUUCCUGACCUCAGAGUACUGGUAAUUAACUGUGUCUCUGGUGUAAACACUCCAUUAAAGACGAGCCAGUGUAGACUCUCUUUGUCACCUU